RNAcentral lists this non-coding RNA (183 nucleotides) under Sporosarcina luteola. RNAcentral's name for it is "6S / SsrS RNA". It matches the Rfam family "6S / SsrS RNA". Rfam says of the family: E. coli 6S RNA was the first non coding RNA to be sequenced, but its function was unknown until recently. It consists of 184 nucleotides that fold into an extended hairpin structure with a large single-stranded internal bulge. The record is from RNAcentral. Lineage: Bacteria; Bacillati; Bacillota; Bacilli; Caryophanales; Caryophanaceae.
CGAAUCCUGAAGUGUUCGUCAUUUGAACAUCAGUUUUGACCGAACAUAAUUAUCGUAGGGAGUCUAAAUUCCGUGCUUGAUGGCAAGCCCUUUAGAGGGGACGUCAGAUAGGAUGGAUUGGACACCCACCUGCUGAGUGCGGGUUCAAAACGAUUCCACUAUGACGGCACGUUCGGGAUUCGU